UGCUCCUUGGGUGACGAGUGGCGGACGGGUGAGUAAUGUCUGGGAAACUGCCCGAUGGAGGGGGAUAACUACUGGAAACGGUAUCUAAUACCGCAUAACGUCACAAGACCAAUGUGGGGGACCUUCGGGCCUCACACCAUCAGAUGUGCCCAUAUGGGAUUAUCUAGUAUGUGGGGUAAUGGCUCACCUACGCGACUAUCCCUAUCUGGUCUGAGAGGAUGACCAGCCACACUGGAUCUGACACACGGUCCACACUCCUACGGGAGGCAGCUGUGGGGAAUAUUGCACAGUGGGCGCACGCCUGAUGCACCCGUGCCGCGUGUAUGAAGAACGCCUUCGGGUUGUAAAGUACUUUCAGUGGGGAGGAACGCGUUAAUGUUAAUAGCCUUGGCGAUUGACGUUACCCGCAAAAGACGCACCGGCUAACUCCGUGCCAGCAGCCGCGGUAAUACAGAGGGUGCACGCGUUAAUCAGAUUUACUGCGCGUAAAGCGCACGCACGCUGUCUGUCAUGUCAGAUGUGAUAUCCCCGGUCUCAACCUGGGAACUGCUUUCGACACUGGCACGCUAGACUCUUGUAGAGGGGGGUAGAAUUCCAUGUGUAGCGGUGAAAUGCGUAGAUAUCUGGAAGAAUACCUGUGG
This 641-nucleotide ribosomal RNA is filed under the name Erwinia sp. MYb144. RNAcentral describes it as "bacterial SSU rRNA". It matches the Rfam family "Bacterial small subunit ribosomal RNA", at positions 77 to 715 of the family's 1533-position model. Lineage: Bacteria; Pseudomonadati; Pseudomonadota; Gammaproteobacteria; Enterobacterales; Erwiniaceae. The record is from RNAcentral.